UAUGCUGUCUAGGUUUGUCAUAACUUUUCUUCCAAGGAGCAAGCGUCUUUUAAUUUCAUGGCUGCAGUCACCAUCUGCAGUGAUUUUGGAGCCCCAAAAAAUCGCCAAGAGCGAAACUGCACCUUUGGGGAGGACGAAUUUCCUUUACCUCCUCUUCCUCCUUCUCGAGUGACUCAAGCUUUUCCUUCCUUGCCACAGACAACAGUUCUGUUACCCCUCCAGAAAAGUGUUUGGUGGGCUCAACAGGAGGGUGACUUGGAAGCUAUGACCAUGACAUUUCCAAUGACAGUACAGGAACGAGUAGCUCCUGGAAAGAUCCUAAUAAUCCUAAUGGGGUGUAUGAGGCUGUGUACAAACAGAUUCCCUCCAAAAUACUAAUGGAACUUAAGCAAGCUGUUCAAAAUUAUGAAGUAAAUUCUCCUUUUACCUUGGAAAUAGUGCAGGGACUAGCUGAGGGUUCCCAUUUGAUUAUGGUGGCUCGUGACCAAGCCAGACAGAUCCCCAUCUCUUUAGAUCAAUUGAUAGGCAGUGGAAACUGGGGGAGAACUCAAGAUCAAGUGCUUAUGGAAGAUGAGGCUAUAGAACAGGUGAGGCAAUACUGCAUAAGAGCCUGGGAGAAAAUGGAGGUUAAAGGACAGGCUUUCUUUACUUUAAGAGAAGACCUCACCUCCCCAGAGAGGAAAUCCUUGCUGGGACAACACUUAUCAGUUUACCCCUGUCAUUAGAGCCAACUAGAACACUCUCUGGUUUCAAGUUUAGCUAUGAAACUAUGAGUACAAAAAAGAGAAAUGACAUUUCUGACACUGAAUGGCCAUGAUAUUCUUUAGACUUUGGAAAAAAACUGGUUAAAAUAAAAUCUUUUUUGAAGUUGAAAAACCGGUUCUUCUUGCAUGUGCAAUUAAAAAAAAAGUUGGCUUGUUAAAAUACUUUUUUGGAGCUCCAAUUCUGCCUGAGAAACAAAAACAGACCUGGGAAAAAACCUAAAGUUAACUCUUAUCAUAUCCUUGGGAUACACAACCCACUCUAUCUGGGACUCCAGCCAUAAACAAAUUGGUAGAACUCAAACCAAAAAAAAAAGAAGGGGCAAAGAGACAUUUCAAAUAUCAAACAAAAAAAAUGAGACAUUUUAAAUAUCAAACAGAAAAGUAUGAGAUCUCUGUCUAUUUAUGUGUGUCUCACUGUGUGUCUUCAUCCUUGGACAAAAUUGCUAAAGGCUAAUUGGUCAAUGAGCUCUAUUUAAUUGGCCUAAAGAGAAGAAUUGGAGACAUUUGGGUUCUGAACAGCCUCACCAAGGUCCAAAAAAGACUAUCUCCAGACAUACACAAAAAUCUCAGAGUAUAUUGAGGAGCCCAAACUCAUACAGAUGAGGAAACUAACAAUAGUCCUCAGAUGCAUGCAAAAAACCCUCCAAAAACUAAUGAAGAAAGAAGUUGCAAGAUCAACAUAUCUUCUGCUACAAAAACAAAAAGGGGGAUAUGCAGGGGUUAACAGUCAGCCAUCUGUUGCUCUGGCUAAGCCAUGAGAAAAUCACCAUGGGAAAAGAAUAAAAGCACAAUGUAGCA
Bubalus bubalis (water buffalo) is the source of this 1562-nucleotide long non-coding RNA. RefSeq lists it as uncharacterized. The transcript has 2 exons. Lineage: Eukaryota; Metazoa; Chordata; Mammalia; Artiodactyla; Bovidae. The record is from RefSeq and is a predicted model, not a curated record.